UAUGUGAUCGUCUCUCGCAUAUCAAUAAGCGGAGGAAAAGAAACUAACAAGGAUUCCCCUAGUAACGGCGAGUGAAGCGGGAAGAGCUCAAAUUUGAAAUCUUAAAGGGUUUCCCUUUACGAAUUGUAGUUUAAAGAAGUGUUUUCUGUUGAGGUUUUGGUAAAAGUUCUUUGGAAUAGGACAUCAUAGAGGGUGAGAAUCCCGUAUUUGACCUUUACUUUCAACUUUGUGAUACACUUUCAAAGAGUCGGAUUGUUUGGGAAUGCAGUCCAAAAUGGGUGGUAAAUUUCAUCUAAAGCUAAAUAUUGGCGAGAGACCGAUAGCGAACAAGUACCGUGAGGGAAAGAUGAAAAGAACUUUGAAAAGAGAGUUAAACAGUACGUGAAACUGCCAAAAGGGAAGCGUUUGACACCAGUGUUGUUUUUCUGAAAAUCAAUUAAAGAACUGUCUAUGCUAAGCUGUUUAGACUUUAUCAGCUAUCUGUUUAGUUUUGAGCUUUUCUUUAAUGCACUUUUCAGUUAACAAGUCGACAUCAAUUUCUUUUGCUGUAAAAAAGCUUGAGGAAGGUGGCUUGAGAUUCGUCUUAAGUGUUUAUAGCCUCUUGCCUAUGCAGUCGGAGAGAUUGAGGUCUGCAGCGUAGAUCCUUCGGGGCUAAAUGCAUUUGUGCUAAGUUAUAGCAUUUUAUAGACAACUUGUUGACUAUGAUUUGUCUUGUAGCUUACUCGCUUAUGUUAUUUUACCUACGCUUAGGAUGUUGAGCGCAUGUCUCUCUCU
This 774-nucleotide ribosomal RNA is filed under the name uncultured Neocallimastigales. RNAcentral's name for it is "partial large subunit ribosomal RNA". It matches the Rfam family "Eukaryotic large subunit ribosomal RNA", at positions 24 to 616 of the family's 3401-position model. The record is from RNAcentral. Lineage: Eukaryota; Fungi; Neocallimastigomycota; Neocallimastigomycetes; Neocallimastigales.